UAUAAAAUGUAAAAAAUAAAAUAAACAAACAUGUUCUUUUAAUGUCAGUAGGAUAACUUUGAGUAAUGUUCCUCAUUAUGUCAGUCGCUAUCACUUUCUUGCGGCAUUCUCCUCAGAGUAAGGGAGGAUGGGUUAUAGGCAUUUUUUGGUUGAAAUAUACUAACAGACCUUGUGCCCUGUGGGAUGCUUUGGCUAAUGUCAGAUUCUUUGAGAACGAUCUGUGUGCUGGGUGGGGUGCUGGUGGGUUUACCUCACAGGAUUUUUACCUUGUUUUCCACUCACAUUUUUAAAAGGACCUUUCCAUUCUUCUCCCCUCCACCAACACAUUUUUUCAGGGAUUGUUUAAUUGUUCCCUCAUUAUUUGGAAGCAAGUCCCACUGACUUUAAUGAAUUUUACUUCCUUCUAGGACUGUUGAGCAAUAUUCCUCUUGAAUCGUGCAGUCAGUACUGCUAGAGAUUGACUGAAAUGCCCCAUGAUGCCAUUGUUCAAGUUUUCAAGACAGGAGCCCCUCUGUCAGAUUGCACUGCAGCUGAACAGUUAAGUGCCUCUUGAUUUAGUGUCAGUAGGAGUUAAACCAAGUGAAAUCCAUCAUGGAAGGUAUGUACAAUAUCUUUUGGAACUUUCAAAAAGUUAAGUGUUCCAGUGACAAGUGCUUCUUCCUGUGAACCACUUGGCAGCACUGUGAAGUCAGCAAUUCAGUCGAAAGUGCACGGUGCCUGAACAACUGGAGUUUUAUUCUGCAAGAGGACAAUGCUCUCCCCCACACAAAGCGACACUGGAAUGCAUCCAGGAGUUGAAAUCUGAGAUUCUACCACAUCCACCAUAUUUCAUCCUAACCUCACACCUGAUUUUCAUUUGGGCCACUUAAAGAUGCACUAAGGAGACGCACGUUCAGGGAUGAAACAGAUGUUCAAAAUGUGGUGCAUGUGGAGUUCACGGCUAUCCUCUUUACCAAAAAUAUUUUUCUCUGAUGCAAUCAGAAAGCUUGGCAGUUAACUCGCUGAAAUAAAUGUGUCAAGACAGGAAGUGAUUACACUGGAAAAUAGUGUGUGUUCAUGUUUUUGGAACAACAACAAAUAUUUAUAUACCGCUUUUCAACAAAAGUUUCCAAAGUGGUUUAGAGAGAGAAAUAAUAAAUAAAUAAGUUGGAUCCCUGUCCCCAAAGGGCUUAUAAGCUAAAAGAAAUGUAAGAUAGACACCAGCAACAAUCACUGGAGGUACUGUGCUGGGGGUGGAUAGGGCCAGUUACUCUCCUCCUGCUAAAUAAAGAGAAUCACCACAUUAAAAGGUGCCUCUUUGCCCAGCAGAGGUAAUAAACUGUUUCAAUGCUAUAUUUAAAUUCAUCUUAUUAAUAAACUAUAUUUAUUAAUCGCUGAGGGAGGGUAAGGUGCCUAUAUGCUUGAAGGAGGCAAUAAUUAGACCUUUUCUUAAGAAGCCUUCCCUGGAUCCCUCGGUGAUGGAUAGUUAUAGGUCAAUCUCUAAUCUCCCUUGGUUGGGCAAGGUGAUCGAGAAGGUGGUGGCCGACCAGCUCCAGGAGGUUUUGGAGGAAACUGAUUAUCUAGACCCAUUUCAAACUGGCUUUAGAGCAGGCUAUGGGGUUGAGACAGCCUUGGUCAGCCUGAUGCAUGAUCUUUACCAGGGAAUUGACAGAGGGAAUGUGACUCUGUUGGUUCUCUUGGAUCUCUUGGCGGAGUCCAUUACCAUUGACCAUGGUAUCCUUCUGGGCCACCUGGGGGAGUUGGG
Hemicordylus capensis (graceful crag lizard) is the source of this 1744-nucleotide long non-coding RNA. RefSeq lists it as uncharacterized. The record is from RefSeq and is a predicted model, not a curated record. NCBI's taxonomy places the organism in Eukaryota, Metazoa, Chordata, Lepidosauria, Squamata, Cordylidae. The transcript is spliced from 3 exons.